CUACGUAGGGUGCAAGCGUUAAUCGGAAUUACUGGGCGUAAAGCGUGCGCAGGCGGUUUUGUAAGACAGUGGUGAAAUCCCCCGGCUCAACCUGGGGACUGCCUUUGUGACUGCAAGGCCGGAGUGCGGCAGACGGGGAUGGAAUUCCGCGUGAAGCAGGGGAAUGCGUAGAUAUGCGGAGGAACACCGAUGGCGAAGGCAAUCCCCUGGGCCUGCACUGACGCUCAUGCACGAAAGCGUGGGGAGCAAACAGGAUUAGAUACCCUGGUAGUCCACGCCCUAAACGAUGUCAACUGGUUGUUGGGGAUUUAUUUUCUCAGUAACGAAGCUAACGCGUGAAGUUGACCGCCUGGGGAGUACGGCCGCAAGGUUAAAACUCAAAUGAAUUGGCGGGG
Molecule: ribosomal RNA, 395 nt
Filed under: uncultured bacterium
Lineage: Bacteria
Description: partial 16S ribosomal RNA
Rfam family: Bacterial small subunit ribosomal RNA
Source: RNAcentral